Molecule: ribosomal RNA, 497 nt
Filed under: uncultured bacterium
Lineage: Bacteria
Description: partial 16S ribosomal RNA
Rfam family: Bacterial small subunit ribosomal RNA
Source: RNAcentral
GAUGAACGCUGGCGGCGUGCCUAAUACAUGCAAGUCGAGCGAACAGACGAGGAGCUUGCUCCUCUGACGUUAGCGGCGGACGGGUGAGUAACACGUGGAUAACCUACCUAUAAGACUGGGAUAACUUCGGGAAACCGGAGCUAAUACCGGAUAAUAUAUUGAACCGCAUGGUUCAAUAGAGAAAGACGGUUUUGCUGUCACUUAUAGAUGGAUCCGCGCCGCAUUAGCCAGUUGGUAAGGUAACGGCUUACCAAGGCGACGAUGCGUAGCCGACCUGAGAGGGUGAUCGGCCACACUGGAACUGAGACACGGUCCAGACUCCUACGGGAGGCAGCAGUAGGGAAUCUUCCGCAAUGGGCGAAAGCCUGACGGAGCAACGCCGCGUGAGUGAUGAAGGUCUUCGGAUCGUAAAACUCUGUUAUUAGGGAAGAACAAAUGUGUAAGUAACUAUGCACGUCUUGACGGUACCUAAUCAGAAAGCCACGGCUAACUACGUG